UGGGGAAUUUUGCGCAAUGGGGGAAACCCUGACGCAGCAACGCCGCGUGGAGGAUGAAGUCCCUUGGGACGUAAACUCCUUUCGACCGGGACGAUUAUGACGGUACCGGUGGAAGAAGCCCCGGCUAACUUCGUGCCAGCAGCCGCGGUAAUACGAGGGGGGCGAGCGUUGUUCGGAUUUACUGGGCGUAAAGGGCGCGUAGGCGGCGAUCUAAGUCAGGCGUGAAAGCCCCGGGCUCAACCUGGGAAUUGCGCUUGGGACUAGAUUGCUGGAGUUCGGGAGAGGAGCGUGGAAUUCCCAGUGUAGAGGUGAAAUUCGUAGAUAUUGGGAAGAACACCGGUGGCGAAGGCGGCGCUCUGGACCGAUACUGACGCUGAGGCGCGAAAGCGUGGGGAGCAAACAGGAUUAGAUACCCUGGUAGUCCACGCUGUAAACGAUGUGUGCUAGACGUUGGGGAGCCUAGCUCUUCGGUGUCGCCGCUAACGCUGUAAGCACACCGCCUGGGGAGUACGGCCGCAAG
RNAcentral lists this ribosomal RNA (520 nucleotides) under uncultured bacterium. RNAcentral's name for it is "bacterial SSU rRNA". It matches the Rfam family "Bacterial small subunit ribosomal RNA", at positions 355 to 892 of the family's 1533-position model. The record is from RNAcentral.